UACGUAGGUGGCAAGCGUUGUCCGGAUUUAUUGGGGCGUAAAGCGAGCGCAGGCGGUUCCUUAAGUCUGAUGUGAAAGCCCACGGCUCAACCGUGGAAGGUCAUUGGAAACUGGGGAACUUGAGUGCAGAAGAGGAGAGUGGAAUUCCAUGUGUAGCGGUGAAAUGCGUAGAUAUAUGGAGGAACACCAGUGGCGAAGGCGACUCUCUGGUCUGUAACUGACGCUGAGGCUCGAAAGCGUGGGGAGCAAACAGGAUUAGAUA
Molecule: ribosomal RNA, 262 nt
Filed under: uncultured prokaryote
Description: partial 16S ribosomal RNA
Rfam family: Bacterial small subunit ribosomal RNA
Source: RNAcentral